GCCGCCGUAGCUCCAGUGGUAGAGCAGCCGCCUUGUAAGCGGACGGUCCAAGGUUCGAAUCCUUGUGGCGGCACCA
Molecule: transfer RNA, 76 nt
Filed under: Novosphingobium sp. TCA1
Lineage: Bacteria; Pseudomonadati; Pseudomonadota; Alphaproteobacteria; Sphingomonadales; Sphingomonadaceae
Description: tRNA-Thr
Rfam family: tRNA
About the family: Transfer RNA (tRNA) molecules are approximately 80 nucleotides in length.
Source: RNAcentral